CAGAUUUUGUUCUUCAACCCUUGGCCAGAUAUCAUAUUUAAAGGAGGGUUGAAUCCUAUCAACAGAACACCACAGGUAUUAAAAGGUACAAAGAUGGAGAUUAAACUGCAAACAUGGCAACGUUCCUCUUUCCUCUCUAAUACAACUAAACCCCCCUUCUGUUGAAAUCCAUUGCUUCAGUGUAUAAGGCUGUCCCACAUGAUCAGAGGAGGGGGUUUGCUAAUAUCUCUCUUUAUUGAUCAGAGGACGGUCAGCAUGAACAAAUGGUGCUAUUAGUGGAACAAGGGUCUCCAACACAGUGAAAUAACAGACUUCACAUCAAUUCAGCCAGUCAAUCAACUUGACACUCCACCAGUCAACCUCCCUUCAGUUCCCAUGUCUGUAUGCCCUGUUCCAUUCUCAUGUCACCAGGAAACAGCCUUGUCUUUGUAUGCAGCCGCAAUAGUUAGACAGAUGAGGGGGGUUGCGCCCUAUGUUGAGGGAAUAAAAGGCUGUGUGCAUUUGCUUCAGAAAAUCCAUCAUAUUGUGGUCCACUAUAAAAGGUACACUAAAAAAAAGCUGCUCACAAACAAGCUAAAAGAUCUAAUUAGGAUAAGUCUGUUUGUCAAAAUUUAAUUGCAAUAUAGUGAAAUAUGUCAUAAUCGGUGAACUGUGGUGUUUUAUAAGCUCGGUUGUGAUUGAAAGUUUCUUUAUGUGUAAGUUAAUUAUCAGCAGAUUUAUUUAGAGGGGAGAAAAUGCGCCCAAACAAACUUGUUGGACACAAAUUGUAAAAUCACCAUCCAUUUGUAACAGUUUGACAUACACAGUGAAGCCAUUUCAGCUCCACCAUUUGUUAAAUGUUUCUGAGAAUAACUGCAAUAAGUUCAGUUCCACCAGCUGUAUAUUGGUUCAGAGGGAAGAUCAAUAAUCAGGUUUUUAUUAUCGUGUGGCCUAGACCUUGCUGAGUAUUUUACACUGAAAUAUGACAGUUUAAGAUCAUCAGUAAAGGGUUUAGCUACAAUUUUCCUUUUACAAACAAUGUGAAUAUGUUUUUUUUUUCAGUGGGACUUUUAAUUUGAAGUUAAUACACAGUUUAACAUUGGAACCAAACCAACAGUUUGUAUAUGUAUUGAUAAUUACCCUCAUUCAUGCAACAUGCGCAGAACAACUUUGUGUGCAAACUGAUCACAUAGGAAGAUUAUCGGGUGUUUAGAGAUGUAUAUAAACUUUGAGUAAGUCGUAGACAAAAGGACAAGCAGCUUUACCUACAGCACACAGUGAAGGUUGUGUCUUUCAAAUGUUCCAGAUAAUAAUGAUAAUAAUAAUAAUAAUAAUAUAUUUUACUUGUAGUACCCUUUACAUCAAGCAACCUCAAAGGGCUGCAUCUUAAAAGGAAAGAAAUUUCACAGUAAAUGAAUACAAAAACAGGUUAUUGGUUAAAAAACAAGAGAAACAUCUCAUUAAAAGAGUAAAAGCAAGAUAAGCAUUUUUUUAAAGAAUCUAUGAGGAGGGACUAAAUGUCCAUUUAGUGCGAGUACUUUCAUGAAUGUGCAAUUUUGAUGCAAAGAAGUUAAUUCAGCACUUGCUUUGCACCUUACCGAAGCUUUAAAUAGAUUGUUUUUUUUUUUUCUUGUUUUUUUUUUACUGCAUGUAAAUUUAAUGAUGACUAUGCAAAUCCAGGUAUUUGAUGAUGCACACAGAUAGACAGUGUCAUUACAGUGAGGAGGGGGCAAGAUUACAGACACAUAUUCUGCUUCAAAGGCAUUUAACAUGGCCUGUUUGGGGGUGUUUUUCUUCAUCUCCAUUCAUGAUUAAACAUAUUUACAUUGAUCAAAACUGACAUUUAUGUCCUCUUACUUUUCUUAUACUUUAUCUUACAUGAGUGUUUUCUCUUUCACAGGUUGUAUGUCCUUGUCUCCUGUGUGCGCUUGUCUCCUCUGGUGCACUCCUCCCCCUCCUCCACAAUACCCAGGCUGCUCCGCUGUGGGACCUCGAGGAUGAAGGGACCUCAUCCCUGUAUGUACCUUAUUGUUGUCUCUUUGCGGGCAUUUAUGGCCGUUUUCAGACCUCAUACUGAGCUGAUGGGCAGUCUGGAGAGUGCGACAGUACCUUGUGUCACAGAGGACACAGCUGACACCACGUGCACAGUGGAUGACAAUCCAUCUUUAAGAGCUGCAGACUGUUUUUAGUUCGUACAUCACUGUUACCCCGCAGGGUGUCUGUUGACCUGGGAUGAAUUGAGAGAUGGGUUGUGGAUGAUUUUUUUCCUUUGAGUUUCUUGAUGUCUUGGGACCUGUCGAGUCUCCGAGUCUGUCCGAGUCCAGGGGAGCUUGAGGUCUGAAAGCUUGUGACUUAUCUUGUUUUCAGGUCAACUGAUGAAAAAUAUUAUCUGUUUGACUUGUUGAUUUUAAACAGUUUUAAUCUCUGUUUCAUUUCCAAGAUAUCUCCUU
Non-coding RNA from Xyrichtys novacula (pearly razorfish), 2429 nucleotides. NCBI's taxonomy places the organism in Eukaryota, Metazoa, Chordata, Actinopteri, Labriformes, Labridae. The record is from the annotation of a GenBank genome assembly.